Long non-coding RNA from Cucumis melo (muskmelon), 755 nucleotides. RefSeq lists it as uncharacterized. The record is from RefSeq and is a predicted model, not a curated record. The transcript is spliced from 3 exons. NCBI's taxonomy places the organism in Eukaryota, Viridiplantae, Streptophyta, Magnoliopsida, Cucurbitales, Cucurbitaceae.
GUUCCCUUCCAAACACUUCAGAAGAAACAACAACCAUAGCUAAUAUCACAAAUUAAAACUUUAUGAGAUACAACUUUCAGCUGAAGUGUUUGGGGGAACUCUGGAAGAUAUUUCGUUUUCUAUAUACUUAUUUCUUUCAUCGCAAAGGUGUGACUGAAACCCUAAACCAAACUAUACAUUUUCUUUCCUUGUUUCUUUGAUUCUAAGUGCUUUGAGGAGUAGAAUAAUCCUAUUUGCUUUGAUUGUGCGGAUUCAAAAUUAAACUCUUUCAAAUGGAAUUGAAAUAGAAUAUGGUGGGAAAGCGAAAUGAAUAACUCGCAUUGGCUGCCUUUCAAGGAGGAGCCAAAAAUGAAAAUUAAGUCAUCGGAGCAGCGGUUAUACCCAAGAUAGAAAAUAUCAUGUCAUUUGAAUAAGAGAAAAGGAAAGCAAAGAGAAACGGAAGGGAAGACGAUGGAAGGAGAAGAAAGAGAUUGAAACCGAUCUAACGAGCCGCCAACCAACGCGAUGAACUCGAUGCUUCACCAUUGGGCCUUCUAAAAUGAGAGAGUUUGUUUAUAAUUUUUUUCUUUUUAAAAAAAGUAGUCGUCAAUGACCACAACACUGAUGGGAGGUAGGGAGAUGAAGAGGAAGAGAAAUGAGUGAAGCAAAAAAUUACUAUGAAACUUAAUCAUUCUUUCUAUGUUUGAAACAUAUUUUAGAUAAUAUAAUUACUUCAAAUCAUAUAUUACCUUGCUUUCUAAACUUAACCAAAAUAU